Sitodiplosis mosellana (orange wheat blossom midge) is the source of this 311-nucleotide long non-coding RNA. RefSeq lists it as uncharacterized. The record is from RefSeq and is a predicted model, not a curated record. The transcript has 3 exons. NCBI's taxonomy places the organism in Eukaryota, Metazoa, Arthropoda, Insecta, Diptera, Cecidomyiidae.
CUGAGAAGGCAAAGAAUAACAACUUGGUUUAGGUUGAAGUUCAAGUGAAAUAGUUUGAUACCUUGUAUUGAGUUUCUCGAAUUUUCUGGCAUAUAUAAUAACUAUCAACGUAACUCACAAUACGAUGAAAAAUGUUCAAUCCAGAUCAAGCUACUGAAAUAUCAGCACAGGAAAAUAUAUAUCCCAUAAGAGCUACCAAUAAUGAUGUAUUUGUGCUUACCAUUUGUUGGGGCGUUACUUUAAUGCCUGUUCGCGUUGGGGUCGAGGAUACUAUACGGUUUGUUCCAGAAAUUUGUGAUGUUGAAGACGUG